Molecule: non-coding RNA, 45 nt
Filed under: Schistosoma mattheei
Lineage: Eukaryota; Metazoa; Platyhelminthes; Trematoda; Strigeidida; Schistosomatidae
Source: RNAcentral
AUCCAGUUGACGAGUCCUAAAUAGGACAAAACGUGAAUCCUGGAU